CACCAGCUCCACAAGUGGGGAUCACAUUUAUUUGGCCUAAAGCGUCCGUAGCUGGUUUUGUAAAUCUUUUGUGAAAUUGUUAGGCUUAACCUAACAGCGUGCAGGAGACACUGCAGAACUAGGGACCGGGAAGAGUUAGGGGUAUGUUGAGGGGAGCGGUAAAAUGCAAUAAUCCUCGAUAGACCACCUGUGGCGAAGGCGCCUAACUAGAACGGGUCCGACAGUGAGGGACGAAAGCCAGGGGA
This 245-nucleotide ribosomal RNA is filed under the name uncultured archaeon. RNAcentral describes it as "partial 16S ribosomal RNA". It matches the Rfam family "Archaeal small subunit ribosomal RNA", at positions 474 to 718 of the family's 1478-position model. The record is from RNAcentral.